This 1870-nucleotide long non-coding RNA is filed under the name Triticum aestivum (bread wheat). Its description in RNAcentral is "long non-coding RNA (TAES_LNC009566)". Lineage: Eukaryota; Viridiplantae; Streptophyta; Magnoliopsida; Poales; Poaceae. The record is from RNAcentral.
AAAAGAACUGAGUAAUAUUGGAACGCUGUUAAACUUUUUCUACAAUAGACGGAUUACAUCUCUUCUUUUCAUGAACGCGGUCAUCCGUUAAACAUGAAAACAGCUCCAAACAUGAUACACUCUGAAUGUUGCACUAAACCCAUGGCAGUGCUCAUACAAGUUACUGCCUAGUGAGAUGAGAUCAGGGAGCUCUCACAAAAGAGAAAAAAUAGAGACGAGACCAGGCAGCAUGUCAAUAUGCAUUGAGUAAAAUAGACCAAAACACUAUACUUGCCCUACAAUAAAAUGCCAUACUCCGCGUCUGCGGCACUAUAGCUCGAUAUACCAUAGGCACCACGCCUAGUUAUGCCUGCAACAAGUAUGCAUCGAAGCGGAGCUGAUCCUCCUUCAGAAUCACGUAUAGGCAAACCCCCAGUUUGCGCCAUGCUCCAUCUCCUCGAAGAAGAAAGGACCAUGAUACACAUCCAGUUUCAGCACAUUUUCUCCUCCUGGAAGAAACAAAGCACCACCUAAAUUCAGUAAAGUGAAAACUUCAGAGUUUGCGUGGAUUAGUGUAAAACAACAUCUCCAGUGUAAAUGUCCUUGGUUCGACCGUUACUGCCUAUGUGUGCCUGCCAUGUCUUCUCUAGUCAGCACACUAAAUGAAUAUACACAUGGAGACCGUUGUAGCCAAAUUGGUGACAUGCUUGCUCUAUAGAGUCUAACCAAAAAAAGGGUACGACAAAAAUCUAUCUCUUUGUUUCAGACAGUGUAAACAGGUCGCAAGGAAAAAUCAUCUAAUAUUGUUUUUCCUUAAAGGCAAAGAGCCCAAGAAAGACCAGUUUUCAUCGAUCUUAACUAAAAGACGGAUAGUUGCCUCAUCUGGGGGACACUUGGCUAAAAGAAUAAAAAGGAACUACCUGCAUCUGACUUUCAGAGUGUAUAUUUUCAUGAAACGAUAAUUGGAUCCAAAAUCCCCCCCAUAUGAGCACUACUUCUCUUACAAGACGAAAAGAGCUUAGUUAUUUGCAAUCUCUAGACAGUCUGUACCUUAUUAACAAUAACUCAAACAAGAAUUUGAUAUGCAAGGGUUAAAGAAAUACUCAAAUCAUCAAUGGUGCUAACAAAUGUAUGGUCUAGUUUAUUUUAACCAACAGAAGAACAAAAAAAAUAUCAAGUUUGCAAGGUUCCACCUGAUAUUUCUAAAAGACGAGUUAAGACAUUCAGCUAAAUCUAGAUCGUAACACCAAUCUAUAAUUUGAGAUACAACUUGAUAUAAAAGCCAACUCAGUAAUAUGUUGGUCCUUGAAAGGAACCAUCCCAAACAGUAGCCUACAUAAAAAAAAACAUGACGGACAGUAGCCAGUAGUAUUAGGUACAGAACAACGGAGUGGGAAAUGUGCAAUCACAACCUACGAUAUAGCCAAACAAUAAUACCAUACAGAAUCAUAAAAAAAGCAAGUCUAAUGCAUGUAUGACAGAACAAGGUUUGAUUAAGUAGAACGUGCAUUAUGGACAUCUUGCUUCUAAUGAAAAUUCCAAGUUAAUAAUUAUGGAAAGGGGAACAUGCACACAAUAUAAUGGUAAUGUAAGUCCAACUAUAACUGCAACAAAAUAAAGCAUGAAACAAAGGAAGCACCUCUUGUGAUGGGUUAGACCCAAAAGGCACACGCAGUUUCCCAUAGUGCUGACAUAGUAUCAGCAGCAACUAAAUAAGUAACUUGCGAGGAUCACCACUCUGGUAUUGACUGGCGAAGAUUCAUACCAUUAAUCAUCUAAUCGAGCCAUUUAUUUACAUCCUUUGAUUCAGCACUUCCACCAACAAGAGGGCCACGAACAGGUUGAUGGUAGAAAACAUGGAAGUAACUAAGCGCACUGCCAUCAGUGAUCC